CUUGGAACUCUGAGACAGGUGCUGCCUGGCUGUCGUCAGCUCGUGUUGUGAAAUGUUGGGUUAAGUCCCGCAACGAGCGCAACCCUUAUCCUUUGUUGCCAGCGGUUAGGCCGGGAACUCAAAGGAGACUGCCAGUGAUAAACUGGAGGAAGGUGGGGAUGACGUCAAGUCAUCAUGGCCCUUACGAGUAGGGCUACACACGUACUACAAUGGCAUAUACAAAGAGAAGCGACCUCGCGAGAGCAAGCGGACCUCAUAAAGUAUGUCGUAGUCCGGAUUGGAGUCUGCAACUCGACUCCAUGAAGUCGGAAUCGCUAGUAAUCGUGGAUCAGAAUGCCACGGUGAAUACGUUCCCGGGCCUUGUACACACCGCCCGUCACACCAUGGGAGUGGGUUGCAAAAGAAGUAGGUAGCUUAACCUUCGGGAGGGCGCUUACCACUUUGUGAUUCAUGACUGGGGUGAAGUCGUAACAAGGUAACCG
Molecule: ribosomal RNA, 482 nt
Filed under: uncultured bacterium
Lineage: Bacteria
Description: bacterial SSU rRNA
Rfam family: Bacterial small subunit ribosomal RNA
Source: RNAcentral